UGGGGAAUUUUGGACAAUGGGCGAAAGCCUGAUCCAGCAAUGCCGCGUGUGUGAAGAAGGCCUUCGGGUUGUAAAGCACUUUUGUCCGGAAAGAAAUCCUUGGCUCUAAUACAGUCGGGGGAUGACGGUACCGGAAGAAUAAGCACCGGCUAACUACGUGCCAGCAGCCGCGGUAAUACGUAGGGUGCAAGCGUUAAUCGGAAUUACUGGGCGUAAAGCGUGCGCAGGCGGUUUGCUAAGACCGAUGUGAAAUCCCCGGGCUCAACCUGGGAACUGCAUUGGUGACUGGCAGGCUAGAGUAUGGCAGAGGGGGGUAGAAUUCCACGUGUAGCAGUGAAAUGCGUAGAGAUGUGGAGGAAUACCGAUGGCGAAGGCAGCCCCCUGGGCCAAUACUGACGCUCAUGCACGAAAGCGUGGGGAGCAAAACAGGGGUUAGAUACCCUGGUAGUCCACGCCCUAAACGAUGUCAACUAGUUGUGGGGAUUCAUUUCCUUAGUAACGUAGCUAACGCGUGAAGUUGACCGCCUGGGGGAGUACGGUCGCAAGAUUAAAACUCAAAGGAAUUGACGGGGUCAUAGCUGUUUCCU
RNAcentral lists this ribosomal RNA (587 nucleotides) under uncultured bacterium. RNAcentral's name for it is "partial 16S ribosomal RNA". It matches the Rfam family "Bacterial small subunit ribosomal RNA", at positions 355 to 1375 of the family's 1533-position model. The record is from RNAcentral.